Molecule: transfer RNA, 75 nt
Filed under: Alphaproteobacteria bacterium
Lineage: Bacteria; Pseudomonadati; Pseudomonadota; Alphaproteobacteria
Also listed under: 1 other name
Description: tRNA-Val
Rfam family: tRNA
About the family: Transfer RNA (tRNA) molecules are approximately 80 nucleotides in length. Their secondary structure includes four short double-helical elements and three loops (D, anti-codon, and T loops).
Source: RNAcentral
GGGCACUUAGCUCAGCGGGAGAGCAUCACCUUGACAUGGUGGGGGUCGCAGGUUCAAUCCCUGCAGUGCCCACCA